This is a long non-coding RNA of Bubalus bubalis (water buffalo), 932 nucleotides long. RefSeq lists it as uncharacterized. The record is from RefSeq and is a predicted model, not a curated record. The transcript is spliced from 2 exons. Lineage: Eukaryota; Metazoa; Chordata; Mammalia; Artiodactyla; Bovidae.
AUAGUGAUUGCUUCCUAAGGCCCACUUGACUUCACAUUCCAGGAUGUCUGGCUCUAGCUCAAGAGACCUGUCAAGGUGAAGUCUCAGGAAGUCCCAUCCUCACUGAUACAUCAGCAGUCACGUCCGAGCCGUGAUCUGACCCAUUUGCGCACCAGAACUAGACCCAGUGGACCAGCCCCUCCUGAAUUCAUCCUGAAACGAUUUCUCCACUUGACGGAUAAGGAGCCAGGCUCCCUCUCAGAUUCUGCCACCUCACUGCUUCUGUCCCCUGUGCUGUUUCGUCCAUCUCCACGUCUAAGGGCUUAACUUGGGGUAACCAAUAAUACUUCAGUCUUUGAUUUUUCUGUCCCCUUGACGUCCUCAUUGCCUGGAGCUGCACACUGUCCAAUAUGGUUAACAGUAGCCAUGGAUGGCCAUUUGAAUAUAAAUUUAAAUACAUUUAAAUUAAAUAAAUUUAGGAAUACAGCCCCACUCUGAAACUUUCUUCCUCUUGUCUGUCUUUCACCCUUGACAUUCUAUUACCCAGCGAUCCAUCUGGAACUACAUUCACAGUAUUUCCAGAAUCCUGUCAAUUUUCAUCGCUUCCAAAAUUAUCAGUGCGGUACAUGCCACCAUUAUCUUCUGCCUGGGUUAUUGCAAUAGGCCCCUAAGCCAAACAAGCAUGUCUCCACCACAUGGUCUUUGCACUUCCUUCUUGCUUUUCAAGGACUCUCUUACCACAGUCCUCUCUACUCCCUUCUUCAAGUCUUAGUCCCUCAGUUCCUUUAAUAUAUGCUCAAAUAUUCCUCUCUGGGAUUUCAUCACACUAUGUAAUCUGGUCUUUCUCCCUCACACAUCUCACCCUGAUUUAUAUUUUGAAUAAAGGAAUUCCCUCCCCUCAUUACCCAGAUUUAUACUUUGAUAAUUUUCCAGAUAUAUUCCCUCACCUAUCA